UGAAGAUCUAGAAAAGGCCUUGGAGCUCACUGGUUUAAAAGUGUUUGGCAAUGAAAUUAAACUUGAAAAACCAAAAGGAAGAGAUAGUAAGAAAGUUCGAGCUGCAAGAACACUUUUAGCAAAGAACCUUUCUUUCAACAUCACUGAGGAUGAAU
Molecule: non-coding RNA, 155 nt
Organism: Peromyscus maniculatus bairdii (prairie deer mouse)
Lineage: Eukaryota; Metazoa; Chordata; Mammalia; Rodentia; Cricetidae
Source: RefSeq, a predicted model, not a curated record